RNAcentral lists this ribosomal RNA (279 nucleotides) under uncultured bacterium. RNAcentral's name for it is "partial 16S ribosomal RNA". It matches the Rfam family "Bacterial small subunit ribosomal RNA", at positions 506 to 784 of the family's 1533-position model. The record is from RNAcentral.
UGCCAGCCGCCGCGGUAAUACGGAGGGUGCGAGCGUUAAUCGGAAUUACUGGGCGUAAAGGGCGCGUAGGUGGCCAGAUUAGUCGGGUGUGAAAGCCCCGGGCUUAACUCGGGAAUUGCAUUCGAUACUGCCUGGCUAGAGUGCAGUAGAGGGAAGCGGAAUUCCGGGUGUAGCGGUGAAAUGCGUAGAUAUCCGGAGGAACACCAGUGGCGAAGGCGGCUUUCUGGACCAAUACUGACGCUGAGAUGCGAAAGCGUGGGGAGCGAACAGGAUUAGAUA